GUUUGAGUGUCGCAACUGGUAAAUUUUCUCAUACAUGCAGCUGGAAUGAGCAGAUAAUUGGUACGCUGACAAUACAUUUUUUUGUGCAUGGAAUAAUGAAGGUAAAUGACAAAUGGGAUUUUGCUUGUAUCAUGCUUUUAAAGGCACUCAAAGCACUUGAACAAUCCUCAUCAGCAUCAGGACCAAGUUGGGGCUUUGGUAUUUUGCUCAAGGACGCUUGAGCAUGGUCACUCGGACUCAGGAUUGUAACCAAGACCUUCAGGCUGGAAAAUGAUCAUAAUACCACCUCAGCCCCAUAAGGAUUCCGAUUGUGCUCUUGUCAAAGUUUCACUUCAGGUUUUUGUUAUGGGACCAACUGAUGUGUGUCAGGAAACUGGAGAGUACUUUUUGGAAGCGGUACCAGACUGACUGUGGAGACUCCCUGUUGAGGUUUGCAAGUUCAAAACAAAUCUCAGGAGGUUCUUGUAAAGGAAGCAACUAAUGUGUGACAGGAUACAACAGGUUACUUUUUGGAAGUGGAACCAGAUUGACGGUGGAAACCUGUAAGUGGGAUUUUUUGGAAGAUAAUUACCGGUACUUAGUUUUGUUUUAAUUAAAAUCUGAAACAGAAACUUAGCUAGUUCAUGUUAUUUCUUUUUGUUUUGUUUGAGCAUCAUAUUGUCUGAGUAUGUAGUCGACAUUUGGAUGUGGAAACAGAUUGAGUGUUGAACCCGGUGAGUGGAAACAUGGCAAAGUCUGUUUGGCGGCUCAAUUAAAUGAAGUUUGCUCGUUCCAUGUUUACAUGCUUUGUGUGAAACUUU
This is a long non-coding RNA of Hippocampus comes (tiger tail seahorse), 800 nucleotides long. RefSeq lists it as uncharacterized. NCBI's taxonomy places the organism in Eukaryota, Metazoa, Chordata, Actinopteri, Syngnathiformes, Syngnathidae. The record is from RefSeq and is a predicted model, not a curated record. The transcript has 2 exons.